Molecule: non-coding RNA, 117 nt
Filed under: Pan paniscus (pygmy chimpanzee)
Lineage: Eukaryota; Metazoa; Chordata; Mammalia; Primates; Hominidae
Also listed under: 1 other name
Source: Rfam by way of RNAcentral
GCCGGGUGUGGUGGCUCACGCUUGUAAUCCCAGCACUUUGGGAGGCUGAGGCGGGUGGAUCACCUGAGGCCAGGAGUUUGAGACCAGCCUGGCCAACAUGGUGAAACCCUGUCUCUA